Molecule: ribosomal RNA, 295 nt
Filed under: Eclipidrilus pacificus
Lineage: Eukaryota; Metazoa; Annelida; Clitellata; Lumbriculida; Lumbriculidae
Description: partial 16S ribosomal RNA
Rfam family: Bacterial large subunit ribosomal RNA
Source: RNAcentral
GCACAAUCAAUUGCCCGUUAAUUGCGGGCUGGAAUGAACGGGUAAACGAAAUAAUAGCUGUUUCAACUAGAAAUAUAAAAAUUAUCCUUUAGGUGAAGAGACCUGAAUAAAAUUGAAAGACAAGAAGACCCUAUAGAGCUUUACUUAUAUAUUUUAAUAAAAAAUAAAAAGUUCGGUUGGGGCGACCAAGGAAUACUAAUCAUCCUAAUACAAUUAAAGAACAAUAGUUCAUACAAAUGACCCUUUAAAAGAUCAAAAGAUCAAGCUACCUUAGGGGUAACAGGCUAAUCCUCCU